RNAcentral lists this ribosomal RNA (459 nucleotides) under uncultured bacterium. Its description in RNAcentral is "bacterial SSU rRNA". It matches the Rfam family "Bacterial small subunit ribosomal RNA", at positions 339 to 791 of the family's 1533-position model. The record is from RNAcentral.
GUACGGAAGGCAGCAGUCGAGAAUUUUUCACAAUGGGCGCAAGCCUGAUGGAGCGACGCCGCGUGGGGGAUGAAUGGCUUCGGCCCGUAAACCCCUGUCAUUCGGGAUCAAUGCGUUUGGGUGAACAUCCCAGACGUUGAUAGUACCGGAGGAGGAAGGGACGGCUAACUCUGUGCCAGCAGCCGCGGUAAUACAGAGGUCCCAAGCGUUGUUCGGAUUUACUGGGCGUAAAGGGUGCGUAGGCGGUCGGGUAAGUCUGGUGUGAAAUUUCGGAGCUCAACUCCGAAACUGCAUUGGAAACUAUCCGGCUAGAGGUUGGGAAGGGAGACUGGAAUUCUCGGUGUAGCAGUGAAAUGCGUAGAUAUCGAGAGGAACACCAGUGGCGAAGGCGAGUCUCUGGACCAAUCCUGACGCUGAGGCACGAAAGCCAGGGGAGCAAACGGGAUUAGAUACCCUGGU